GGCUUGUGGCUCAGUGGUAGAGUGCUUGCCUGGCAUGUGGGGGCCCUGGGUUCAAUCCUUAGCACCA
This 67-nucleotide transfer RNA is filed under the name Marmota monax (woodchuck). RNAcentral describes it as "tRNA.Ala". The record is from RNAcentral. Lineage: Eukaryota; Metazoa; Chordata; Mammalia; Rodentia; Sciuridae.